RNAcentral lists this ribosomal RNA (454 nucleotides) under uncultured Paludibacter sp. Its description in RNAcentral is "bacterial SSU rRNA". It matches the Rfam family "Bacterial small subunit ribosomal RNA", at positions 341 to 792 of the family's 1533-position model. The record is from RNAcentral. Lineage: Bacteria; Pseudomonadati; Bacteroidota; Bacteroidia; Bacteroidales; Paludibacteraceae.
ACGGAAGGCAGCAGUGAGGAAUAUUGGUCAAUGGCCGGAAGGCUGAACCAGCCAUGCCGCGUGAAGGAAUAAUGUCCUAUGGAUUGUAAACUUCUUUUGUACGGGAGCAAUAAGGUCUACGUGUAGGCCGAUGAGAGUACCGUACGAAUAAGCAUCGGCUAACUCCGUGCCAGCAGCCGCGGUAAUACGGAGGAUGCAAGCGUUAUCCGGAUUUAUUGGGUUUAAAGGGUGCGUAGGCGGUAGUGCAAGUCAGCGGUGAAAUGUCCACGCUUAACGUGGAAAGUGCCGUUGAAACUGCAUCACUGGAAUACGGAUGCCGUGGGAGGAAUGUGUAGUGUAGCGGUGAAAUGCUUAGAUAUUACACAGAACACCGAUUGCGAAAGCAUCUCACGAAUCCGUCAUUGACGCUGAGGCACGAAAGUGUGGGGAUCAAACAGGAUUAGAUACCCUGGUA